This 1455-nucleotide long non-coding RNA is filed under the name Mytilus galloprovincialis (Mediterranean mussel). The record is from RNAcentral. Lineage: Eukaryota; Metazoa; Mollusca; Bivalvia; Mytilida; Mytilidae.
AUACUUCUGUCUGAGUUAUCAGGGGUCCCUCAUCAUGCUCAUGCAAUAUCAAAAAUGAUAAAAAAAGAAUAAUCGUGUUAAGAAACAAUAAUUAGUGCGGUCGGGGUUGCAUAAUAGGUUUUAGCACGCAGCUUCUCUGGAUUGUCAAGGUCAACAUCCAGUGUUAUAAAGUGAUACAGUCCUGAACUGGAAUUAUCAAUGUUUAAAACAACAUCUACAGACUCAACAUUCAUAUGCAAUACUCACACACUUCAGAAACAGGUGAUCACAAUAUUAGUACAUCAAUUCCCAAGUAUCAAUGUACAUUUUUUCCCCACAGCACUUGCUAAAAUCAAUUUGAAACAAGCAUUUGGUUUACUUAUCAAAGUUAACACACUUUGACACACUGAAUUUGUUAUAAAAUAUGACUUGGUAUGAAAUAUAUAUUAUUCCAGGUUGACAUAUACAUGUUUUGGUCAUUGUUGGUGUUUGUAUUCUUUAAUCGAAUGAUUUUAGUGAAAUAAUCAAUAAAUCUUAACGCCAGGUCACAAUGUACAACUUGCAAAAAUUACAAUUUAAAUAAUAUAAAUAGUUUUUUUAUCGCCCAUAUUAAUUUUUGGUAUAACGUUGUCUGUUGUCAACAUGUCGGACACUAGCUCAAAAACAGUUUAAUCAAUAUUUAGAUUAUACUUUGGUGAAUUGUUUAUAUCUAUUGACUAGAGCUCCAUUUUGGGUUUUUUUAACAAAUUUCAUAUUAUAUGUUUCCUAGUUUUUUUUUUUUUUUCUUCUGUUUAUUAAUUUCUGUCCUCAUUACUUUAUAGAAUGCCUAAGAGGAAGUAAAGGUAGAAUGUGCCAUAUCACAGGAAAAGACGUGGAACUGGCAAACCAAAAUUAGACAAAGGGCAAACUGAAAUACAUGCACUUACGCCAGACAUCGCACAUGAUGAAGAUCUUUUGUCAUCUGAAACAGAAGAGCUUACAUGCACCAGUGUGGAUUCAGUCUCUUUGGAUCAUUCAUAUUUGUCUGAUAACCAGACAGUGGCAGAACUUUGUUUAGAUGAAGAAACAGCUUGAUGUUAAUCAACAUAUUAAACUUGAAUGCAAAAAAGAAUGUGUAAUAUCAGAUCUAGAAGACCCUUACAAGGCAUUGAAAAAGACAGUUUGUACUAGUCCAACUUUUCCAUAUGUAUAUAAUUCUGCUUCCACUGACCACUUGCAAAUUAUAGAACAUUAUCCAUCAUCUAAAAGUGUGUAUGUUAAAUUAACUAUCCUAAUCAACAAAGAUUUUUCAGCAAAGUAAUAUGUUCACGGCAUCGACCUUAGUAGAGAACAUUAUAUCUGGUUAGGAUUGCCAAGUGUGUAUGACAACAUAACAAGUAUUGAGAGACUAUUGUCUAAAUUAAAGAGUUACACUGUUUGUGUAUACAUGUAUAUAUGUAAUAUAUGUUGUGUUUGAGAUAAAUAGAUUUAAAUCUA